UACGAAGGGACCUAGCGUAGUUCGGAAUUACUGGGCUUAAAGAGCUCGUAGGUGGUUAAAAAAGUUGAUGGUGAAAUCCCAAGGCUCAACCUUGGAACUGCCAUCAAUACUUUUUAGCUAGAGUAUGAUAGAGGAAAGUGGAAUUUCUAGUGUAGAGGUGAAAUUCGUAGAUAUUAGAAAGAACAUCAAAUGCGAAGGCAACUUUCUGGAUCAUUACUGACACUGAGGAGCGAAAGCAUGGGUAGCGAAGAGG
RNAcentral lists this ribosomal RNA (253 nucleotides) under uncultured Pelagibacterales bacterium. RNAcentral describes it as "partial 16S ribosomal RNA". It matches the Rfam family "Bacterial small subunit ribosomal RNA", at positions 524 to 776 of the family's 1533-position model. Lineage: Bacteria; Pseudomonadati; Pseudomonadota; Alphaproteobacteria; Candidatus Pelagibacterales. The record is from RNAcentral.